AGAGUUUGAUCCUGGCUCAGAACGAACGCUGGCGGCGUGCCUAACACAUGCAAGUCGAACGUGAAAGUCCUUCGGGAUGAGUAAAGUGGCGCACGGGUGAGUAAUGCGUAGAUAAUCUGCCUGGUGAUCUGGGAUAACAUCUCGAAAGGGGUGCUAAUACCGGAUAAGCCCACGGAGUCUUCGGACUUUGCGGGAAAAGGGGGGGACCUUCGGGCCUUCUGUCACCAGAUGAGUCUACGUACCAUUAGCUAGUUGGUGGGGUAAGAGCCCACCAAGGCUACGAUGGUUAGCUGGUCUGAGAGGAUGAUCAGCCACACUGGAACUGAGACACGGUCCAGACUCCUACGGGAGGCAGCAGUGGGGAAUUUUGCGCAAUGGGGGAAACCCUAACGCAGCAACGCCGCGUGAGUGAUGAAGGCCUUCGGG
RNAcentral lists this ribosomal RNA (426 nucleotides) under uncultured bacterium. RNAcentral describes it as "bacterial SSU rRNA". It matches the Rfam family "Bacterial small subunit ribosomal RNA", at positions 8 to 422 of the family's 1533-position model. The record is from RNAcentral.